This is a non-coding RNA of Streptomyces sp., 75 nucleotides long. The record is from Rfam. NCBI's taxonomy places the organism in Bacteria, Bacillati, Actinomycetota, Actinomycetes, Kitasatosporales, Streptomycetaceae.
CUUCACCGAACCCAGCCACAACGGCCGCUCCGCCGGGCGUCCCUGGCCGUACGUGGCCAGCAGCGCCUGCGCCUC